CGGCACCUCAAGUGGUCAGGAUGAUUAUUUGGCCUAAAGCAUCCGUAGCCGGCGCUGUAAGUUUUCGGUUAAAUCUGUACGCUCAACGUACAGGCUGCCGGGAAUACUGCAGCGCUAGGGAGUGGGAGAGGUAGACGGUACUCGGUAGGAAGGGGUAAAAUCCUUUGAUCUAUUGAUGACCACCUGUGGCGAAGGCGGUCUACCAGAACACGUCCGACGGUGAGGGAUGAAAGCUGGGGGAGCAAACCGGAUUAGAUACCCGCGUAGUCC
RNAcentral lists this ribosomal RNA (270 nucleotides) under uncultured archaeon. RNAcentral describes it as "partial 16S ribosomal RNA". It matches the Rfam family "Archaeal small subunit ribosomal RNA", at positions 477 to 747 of the family's 1478-position model. The record is from RNAcentral.